AUCACCUGUCCUUAUCUUUGGUUUAGACACAAUAAUUUUGACCGGUUGUCAGCUCUUCCAGGAUAUGAGUUCUUUUGCAAAUUUGGCGCAGGGCUACAUCGACUUCACAGAUUCAGAAGCAACAGGAACAGGCACAUCGGGUCAUGAAAUAAGGGUGAGCAGAAGCAGGAGCAGGAGGCUGCCUUUGCAAAUGCAGACAACAGUAUUUCCUUCACAUGUCAUCUAUAGAGGUGCUCCAAUUGUAAAUGCAUCAACGUCUACUCCCAGGGCCUCCGACGAAAGCUUUGAAGGAAACAGAAGCCAGCUAAUCACGCCGACACAGAAGAUGUUUCAUUUCUACUGAGAAAAUAGACUAAGGGAGACAAAGUGGAGCACUGAAGCAAUCGAAGUGAGUGCUGAUAAGACAGAAGCCAGAACGCCCAGAGCAUUUUAGACACAUGACCCUGUGGGUGGAGCUAAGUGAUGAAGCCUCCCUAAUGAACGGGGCAGGUCUCUGCCAACGGCCCUGUUUCAACAACAAUUACAACUCAUUUUUGGAUUUGCAAGCACCGCUAUCCACCAAACCAAGCUAAUGACAAUUUUUUUUUUAUAUUUUCCAAUAAUAAAGAUGGCUAUAUCUGUGAUUGCAUUCCACGGGUCAUGACAUUUGAAUGUCUGCAGUUGAAAGCUAAUGCUAACGCUAACUCUUACACUCUCCUUGACAUGUCUCACAUGGCCUUUCCUCAAAACGUGGAUGAAAAUCUGUUUUAUUUCCUGAAGAGUAAUAAGACCAGCACGUGUGGAUCUAGAUGCCUUUCAGA
This is a long non-coding RNA of Esox lucius (northern pike), 800 nucleotides long. Lineage: Eukaryota; Metazoa; Chordata; Actinopteri; Esociformes; Esocidae. The record is from Ensembl.